GACGAUCUCCAGCCCGUGCUGGCGCAGCUGCGCCCUCAGCAGCAGGUUCUUGUUCUUCAGCUCCUCCACCUGCAUUUAGGGGGGUCAGACACCCCAAAAUAACCCCAAAAUAUCAUCCUGUACCCCAAAAUAUCACUCUGCACCCCAAAAUAUUCCCCAGUGCACUCCCAGUGCUCCCAGUAACUCCCAGUGCUCCCAAUAUCCCAAACCAGCAGGUUCUUGUUCUUCAGCUCCUCCACCUGCAUUUAGGGGGGUCAGACACCCCCAAAAUAUCACCCUGCACCCCAAAAUAUCACCGUGCACCCCCAAAAUAUCCCCCAGUAUGCUCCCAGUGCUCCCAGUACACCCCAGUAACCCAAUAUCCCAAACCAGCAGGUUCUUGUUCUUCCUCCACUGGAUUUUGGGGGAUAUCCCAAAGUGGUAUGUGGGGGGGGAUGGGGUUAGACACCCCCAAAACAUCCCCCAGUGACCCCAAAAUAUCCAAGUGCACCCCAAAAUAUCCCCCAGAGUGCUCCCAGUCCCUCCCAGUGCUCCCAGUCCGACCUGCUGGUGCAGCACCUCGCUGUCCAUCUGCAGCUGCUCCAUUGAUCCCAGUCCCAUCCCAUUGAUCCCAAUGACCCCAGCCCUGAUCCCAUUGAUCUCAAUCCCAUCCCAGUGACCCCAAUCCCAUUCCCAGUCCAUCCCAAUCCCAUUCCCAGUCCAUCCCAGUUUCACUCCGUUGUCCAUCUGCAGCUGCUCCAGGCCCAAUCCCAUUGAUCCCAAUGACUCCAAUCCUAUCUCAGCCCCAUUCCCAUGACCCCAAUCCCAUUCCCAGGGUUCCCAGUCCAUCCCAAUCCUGUUCCCAGUCCCUCCCAGUGCUCCCAGUCUGACCUGCUGGUGCAGCACCCCAUUGUCCACCUGCAGCUGCUCCAGCCCCAAUCCCAUUGAUCCCAAUCCCAUUCCCAUGACCCCAGCUCCAUCCCAAUGACCCCAGCCCCAUUCCCAUGACUCCAAUCCCAUUCCCAGUGUUCCCAGUUCAUCCCAGUCCCUCCCAGUCCGACCUGCUGGCGCAGCACCCUGUUGUCCACCUGCCGCUGCUCCAGGCCCAAUCCCAUUGAUCCCAAUGACUCCAAUCCUAUCUCAGCCCCAUUCCCAUUACCCCAAUCCCAUCCCAGUGACCCCAAUCCCAUUCCCAGUGUUCCCAGUCCAUCCCAGCCCCAUUUCCAGUCCCUCCCAGUUUCCCCAGUCCAACCUGCUGGCACAGCACCUCGUUGUCCAUCUGCAGCUGCUUCAGGCCCAAUCCCAUCAAUCCCAUUGAUCUCAAUCCCAUCCCAGUGACCCCAAUCCCAUUCCCAGUCUAUCCCAGUCCAUCCCAGCCCCAUUCCCAGUUCCCCCCAGUCCCUCCCAGUUUCCCCAGUCCGACCUGCUG
Molecule: long non-coding RNA, 1408 nt
Filed under: Zonotrichia albicollis (white-throated sparrow)
Lineage: Eukaryota; Metazoa; Chordata; Aves; Passeriformes; Passerellidae
Description: lncRNA (ENSZALG00000002105.1)
Source: RNAcentral